UUCCAUAAAUUUUUAGAUAAGAUUUUACAUGAAAUUCAAUUGUGAAUUUUAGAAAUGUUGGCGGUGUUAUAUUUAAAUUCUGAGAAACUUGCUAAAGAUAAUAAAAAAUGAAAUUGCACAAUUUAUCUUACCUAAAUUUUAUUUAUUUAUGUAUUGCUGUUUAAUUUAUUUUUUGAAAUUAUUUUUUAAUAAGUUAAUAUAAUAAAGUAUAGUUUAAAAUUUAAGUCAAAAUGUAGUUUUAUUUAGGGUUUGGUGAGUUGCAUUUUUUUAGGAGAAUAAGUGGGAAUAAAAAUUGAAAUAAUUUUUAGGAAAUAGGAUUAGGGUGUAAUUGGAAAUUAGUAAGUUUUUUUGAUAAAUUUUUAUUAACAUGU
RNAcentral lists this ribosomal RNA (371 nucleotides) under Mayazomus sp. AMNH LP14549. RNAcentral's name for it is "partial small subunit ribosomal RNA". Lineage: Eukaryota; Metazoa; Arthropoda; Arachnida; Schizomida; Hubbardiidae. The record is from RNAcentral.